CGAGCGGCGGACGGGUGAGUAAGGUAUGAGGAUCUAGCCGAAGGCGGGGGAUAACCACUGGAAACGGUGGCUAAUACCGCAUAAUCUCUAAGGAGCAAAGUGGGGGACCAUUCUGGCCUCACACCUUCGGAUGAACCCAUAUGAGAUUAGCUAGUAGGUGGGGUAAUGGCUCACCUAGGCGACGAUCUCUAGCUGGUCUGAGAGGAUGAUCAGACACACUGGGACUGAGACACGGCCCAGACUCCUACAGAAGGCAGCAGUGGGGAAUAUUGCACAAUGGGCGUAAGCCUGAUGCAGCGAUGCCGCGUGUAUGAAGAAGGCCUUCGGGUUGUAAAGUACUUUCAGUCGUGAGGAAGGUGUUAAGGUUAAUAACCUUGGCAAUUGACGUUAGCGACAGAAGAAGCACUGGCUAACUCCGUGCCAGCAGCUGCGGUAAUGCGCAGGGUACAAGCGUUAAUCGGAAUUACUGGGCGUAAAGGGCACGCAGGCGGUUAAUUAAGUUGGAUGUGAAAUCCCCGGGCUUAAUCUGGGAAUAGCAUUCAAAAGUGGUUAGCUAGAGUCUUGUAAAGAGGGGUAAAUUCCAUGUGUAGCGGUGAAAUGCGUAGAGAUGUGGAGGAAUACCGGUAGCGAAGGCGGCCCCCUGGACAAAGACUGACGCUCAUGUGCGAAAGCGUGGGGAGCAAACAGGAUUAGAUACCCUGGUAGUCCACUCUGUAAACGAUGUCGAUUUGGAGAUUGUGGUCAUGAACUGUGGCCUCCGGAGCUAACGCGUUAAAUCGACCGCCUGGGGAGUAAGGCCGCAAGGUUAAAAUCAAAUGAAUUGACGGGGGCCCGCACAAGCGGUGGAGCAUGUGGUUUAUUCGAUGCAACGCGAAGAACCUUACCUACUCUUGACAUCCAGCGAAUCCUUUAGAGAUAGAAGAGUGCCUUCGGGAGCGGUGAGACAGGUGCUGCAUAGCUGUCGUCAGCUCGUGUUGUGAAAUGUUGGUUAAGUCCCGCAACGAGCGCAACCCUUAUCCUUUGUUGCCAGCGAUUCGGUCGGGAACUCAAAGGAGACUGCCGGUGAUAAACCGGAGGAAGGUGGGGAUGACGUCAAGUCAUCAUGGCCCUUACGAGUAGGGCUACACACGUGCUACAAUGGCGUAUACAGAGAGAGGCAAGCCAGCGAAGGGAAGCAGAACUCAGAAAGUACGUCGAAGUCCGGAUUGGAGUCUGCAACUCGACUCCAUGAAGUCGGAAUCGCUAGUAAUCGCGGAUCAGCAUGUCGCGGUGAAUACGCUCCCGGGCCUUGUACACACCGCCCGUCACACCAUGGGAGUGGGUUGCAAAAGAAGUAGGUAGCUUAA
RNAcentral lists this ribosomal RNA (1346 nucleotides) under uncultured Arsenophonus sp. Its description in RNAcentral is "bacterial SSU rRNA". It matches the Rfam family "Bacterial small subunit ribosomal RNA", at positions 92 to 1438 of the family's 1533-position model. The record is from RNAcentral. Lineage: Bacteria; Pseudomonadati; Pseudomonadota; Gammaproteobacteria; Enterobacterales; Morganellaceae.